ACAUGCCUACAACAUAGCGUUAAAGCACUGGAUCCCAUUAGAACUCUACAGUUAAACACGCUUAGGCUGGAGUAGUACUGUGAUGGGUGACCGCCUUGGAAGUCCUAGUGUUUUACAUGCC
Non-coding RNA from Picea glauca (white spruce), 121 nucleotides. The record is from Rfam. NCBI's taxonomy places the organism in Eukaryota, Viridiplantae, Streptophyta, Pinopsida, Pinales, Pinaceae.